UACGUAGGGUGCGAGCGUUAAUCGGAAUUACUGGGCGUAAAGCGUGCGCAGGCGGUUCGUUGUGUCGGCGGUGAAAGCCCCGGGCUUAACCUGGGAAUGGCCGUUGAAACUGGCGAACUGGAGUGUGGCAGAGGGGGGUGGAAUUCCGCGUGUAGCAGUGAAAUGCGUAGAGAUGCGGAGGAACACCGGAUGGCGAAGGCAGCCCCCCUGGGCUAACACUGACGCUCAGGCACGAAAGCGUGGGGAGCAAACAGG
This 255-nucleotide ribosomal RNA is filed under the name uncultured bacterium. RNAcentral's name for it is "partial 16S ribosomal RNA". It matches the Rfam family "Bacterial small subunit ribosomal RNA", at positions 524 to 776 of the family's 1533-position model. The record is from RNAcentral.